UUUUCAGUGUCGCAGCAAAAGCGUUAAGCACACCGCCUGGGGAGUACGACCGCAAGGUUAAAACUCAAAUGAAUUGACGGGGACCCGCACAAGUAGUGGAGCACGUGGUUUAAUUCGAAGAUACGCGCAGAACCUUACCAACACUUGACAUGUUCGUCGCGACUCUAAGAGAUUAGAGUUUUCGGUUCGGCCGGACGAAACACAGGUGCUGCAUGGCUGUCGUCAGCUCGUGUCGUGAGAUGUUGGGUUAAGUCCCGCAACGAGCGCAACCCUUACUUUUAGUUGCCACCAUUUAGUUGAGCACUCUAAAAGAACUGCCAGUGAUAAGCUGGAGGAAGGCGGGGAUGACGUCAAGUCCUCAUGGCCCUUACGUGUUGGGCUACACACGUGCUACAAUGGCACUUACAAUGAGAUGCAAAGAUGCGAGUCUAAGCCAAUCUCAAAAAGGUGCCUCAGUUCGGAUUGCACUCUGCAACUCGAGUGCAUGAAGCUGGAAUUACUAGUAAUCGUGGAUCAGCGCGCCACGGUGAAUACGUUCCCGGGUCUUGUACACACCGCCCGUCACACCAUGGAAGUUGGUUACACCUAAAGGCAAAACGUAAAACUUUUGACUACGGUACGAUCAGCGACUGGGGUGAAGUCGUAACAAGGUAGCCGUAGGGGAACCUGCGGCUGGAUCACCUCCUU
Molecule: ribosomal RNA, 687 nt
Filed under: uncultured marine alpha proteobacterium
Lineage: Bacteria; Pseudomonadati; Pseudomonadota; Alphaproteobacteria
Description: bacterial SSU rRNA
Rfam family: Bacterial small subunit ribosomal RNA
Source: RNAcentral